AGAGUUUGAUCAUGGCUCAGGAUGAACGCUAGCGGCAGGCUUAACACAUGCAAGUCGAGGGGUAUAGUUCUUCGGAGCUAGAGACCGGCGCACGGGUGCGUAACGCGUAUGCAACCUACCUUUUACAGAGGGAUAGCCCAGAGAAAUUUGGAUUAAUACCUCAUAGUAUGUGAGAAUCGCAUGGUUUUCACAUUAAAGUCACAACGGUAAAAGAUGAGCAUGCGUCCCAUUAGCUUGUUGGUAAGGUAACGGCUUACCAAGGCAACGAUGGGUAGGGGUCCUGAGAGGGAGAUCCCCCACACUGGUACUGAGACACGGACCAGACUCCUACGGGAGGCAGCAGUGAGGAAUAUUGGACAAUGGGCGCAAGCCUGAUCCAGCCAUGCCGCGUGCAGGAUGACGGUCCUAUGGAUUGUAAACUGCUUUUGUACAGGAAGAAACACUCCCUCGUGAGGGAGCUUGACGGUACUGUAAGAAUAAGGAUCGGCUAACUCCGUGCCAGCUGCCGCGGUAAUACGAAGGAUCCAAGCGUUAUCCGGAAUCCUUGGGUUUAAAGGGUCC
Molecule: ribosomal RNA, 561 nt
Filed under: uncultured Flavobacteriia bacterium
Lineage: Bacteria; Pseudomonadati; Bacteroidota; Flavobacteriia
Description: bacterial SSU rRNA
Rfam family: Bacterial small subunit ribosomal RNA
Source: RNAcentral